Odocoileus virginianus texanus is the source of this 1297-nucleotide long non-coding RNA. RefSeq lists it as uncharacterized. Lineage: Eukaryota; Metazoa; Chordata; Mammalia; Artiodactyla; Cervidae. The record is from RefSeq and is a predicted model, not a curated record.
UUCACCCUCACUGGGCUUGUUUCAGGAGAGUAGAAAGACUUUCAAGAGCGGAGGUUGGAUGGGAGACUAUUCCAAGCAGGUACAAAAGACACACUCCACAUCCUGGUCACCUGCUGUUUCCCAUUUAACCAUAAGAAACAGCAGAUUCCUCGUGGUUAAAGAAGCCUAAGAAGGUUCCCUUGCAGAGGAUGAAGAGCGAUUGCAUCAUCAGCAGCUGGGGUCCCCGGGAAGCUGUCAUCUCCCGCAGCGUCAAGAGGUACCGGCCGGAGGCUCCUACCACACGGAAAUGUAGCAUCCCACACGGUACGUCCCCCACCCCAACGCCAUCUCUUCUUGCCCAGGCCUGACGCAAAGCACAGGCCAAGUAAUAACUCAAUAAAAAAUUCACGGCCUUGAAUGAGAUGGGUCAGAACUGCACAGAUGAUGGAGAGAUAAGAAAUGGUCUGCACCAUCAACUCUGAACCAGUUUCUCACGGGAACGACCCUUUCCUUAGUUAGAAGUUUAAAAACUAACGUGUGCCUAUAGAAAGGUUUUCUUAUUAGUCAUCUUUGGUGAAAUGGGGACCAAUUUACUGAGGAUGGUAGAGGUCAGACAGAGCUCAACCGGUGUGAGGUCAUCUUAAGAUCACCUCCUCCCCAGGUUCUUGCCUAAACCCUGCUGGCCUGGGGGCACUGGAGCCUGGCCCUGCCUGCCACCCCUCCAGUUACAUUCCAGACUGAUUCUUCAGACCUGGAUGUAGAAACCAAUGGUGGGAGGUGUUAUUUGCCUGACAUCACACAGCCGCGGCAAUCCUGGCCUCCCAUCGUCCAUCUCUGGAGCCAAAUUUUCUGAGUUCUCUCAUUUAGAGAGGAAGUGUGUUUGGCCUCAGAAGCAAGUGGGUCAGAUUUCAGCCCCACUCGUUUUUAGCUGUGUGACUUUGGGUAAGUAACUUAAUGCUUCUGAGCCUCAAUUCCUUCCUUCUUCAAAUCCACUGCCUAACGGAUCUGGUAAAACUCUCCAUUGUUUUCAAAAUAAACUCCCCAACCAUAACCUAACUUCCAGCUCUCUAAAGGAUUCAAUGAGAUGGCUCACCUUAUCUUGGAACACAGGAGGAAGAAAGGAAGGAAAAGAGAAAACUAACAAGAGCAGGAAGGAGGACAGAGAUUUUCCUCUGGAUCAUCCAAAAUCACUGCAGAGGCUUAGAGAAUGAACUUAUGAUUGCCUGGGGUGAGGGUGGGGAGAAGGGAUAGUUAUGGAGUUUGGGGUGGUCCUGUACACAUUGAUCUAUUUAAAAUGGAUAAUCAACAAGGACCCACU